UUUUGUGGGCUCUCCAAGGGGUAUAAACACGUCAUAAGUGCAAUAAUAAUAAUAUCUGUAUCUUACGACCGAAGGUUCGAUUAUUACAGACAAACCGAGACAAGAAGAAAGGAGUCUUAAGAACCAUUACCUGCUCCAGCCUAAGAACGGGGGCACAGACACCGCAAUCCCGAUGAGCCAGGUGCACAGCACUACCGCCAGCGCGUGCUUCGAGCUGAAACAGAAGUUUCCCAUCGGCUUACAGAUAACAAUGUACCUUUCGAAGGCCAGAAAUGCCAGGGACCAGCCGGUGACUAAACCUGAGGGAGAGAGCAGUAAGGAUGACAGAGGUGUCAGCAGAGAGCUCUUUGGUCGUGAUGUCAAGGAUACCUUAAGCUAACAUCUGGCCCGAAAAAGAAGGACCCAACUAUAAAGUUGG
This is a long non-coding RNA of Hyla sarda, 418 nucleotides long. RefSeq lists it as uncharacterized. The transcript has 3 exons. The record is from RefSeq and is a predicted model, not a curated record. Lineage: Eukaryota; Metazoa; Chordata; Amphibia; Anura; Hylidae.